CUAUGAACCUUGGCAAGCUGCUGCUAGUGCUGGCUCUGAGGCUACUUUUUGAGAGAUUUAGAAAACAGAAGCUAGAAGGGUCUUUGAAAGUCAUCUAUCUUUUCCAAGAGUUGCUCAUCAUUAGAACUGCAUGGGAGGUGGAGUGCAUUUCCCCGGACAUUUACACAGUGAUGGCGAACCUAUGACACGCGUGUCAGCACUGACACGCGUAGCCAUUUCUGAUGACACGUGGCCGCAUGCCGAGGAUGAAACAUUUGCUGCUCCUGAGGAUGAAACAUUUGCGACUAGAGUCUUGGAGUUAGUUUUUUCCUCAAAGGGACACACUACCCAAGUUAUGCUCAGUUUUUUGGCGAAGUUUGACACACCAAGCUCAAAAGGUUGCCCAUCACUGAGUCCUAAAUAUAUUUCCUAAAAUCCAAAGAUAAUUUGAAAAUUGUUCUUUAAAACUGAGAUAACUCAAUACAUUUCUUUCAUAUUUGAUAAAUCAAGUGACAUGCAGCAUAC
This is a long non-coding RNA of Eptesicus fuscus (big brown bat), 504 nucleotides long. RefSeq lists it as uncharacterized. Lineage: Eukaryota; Metazoa; Chordata; Mammalia; Chiroptera; Vespertilionidae. The record is from RefSeq and is a predicted model, not a curated record. The transcript is spliced from 3 exons.